RNAcentral lists this ribosomal RNA (465 nucleotides) under uncultured Ralstonia sp. Its description in RNAcentral is "bacterial SSU rRNA". It matches the Rfam family "Bacterial small subunit ribosomal RNA", at positions 338 to 795 of the family's 1533-position model. Lineage: Bacteria; Pseudomonadati; Pseudomonadota; Betaproteobacteria; Burkholderiales; Burkholderiaceae. The record is from RNAcentral.
CCUACGGGGGGCAGCAGUGGGGAAUUUUGGACAAUGGGCGGAAGCCUGAUCCAGCAAUGCCGCGUGUGUGAAGAAGGCCUUCGGGUUGUAAAGCACUUUUGUCCGGAAAGAAAUGGCUCUGGUUAAUACCUGGGGUCGAUGACGGUACCGGAAGAAUAAGGACCGGCUAACUACGUGCCAGCAGCCGCGGUAAUACGUAGGGUCCAAGCGUUAAUCGGAAUUACUGGGCGUAAAGCGUGCGCAGGCGGUUGUGCAAGACCGAUGUGAAAUCCCCGAGCUUAACUUGGGAAUUGCAUUGGUGACUGCACGGCUAGAGUGUGUCAGAGGGGGGUAGAAUUCCACGUGUAGCAGUGAAAUGCGUAGAGAUGUGGAGGAAUACCGAUGGCGAAGGCAGCCCCCUGGGAUAACACUGACGCUCAUGCACGAAAGCGUGGGGAGCAAACAGGAUUAGAUACCCGUGUAGUC